Long non-coding RNA from Copidosoma floridanum, 516 nucleotides. Lineage: Eukaryota; Metazoa; Arthropoda; Insecta; Hymenoptera; Encyrtidae. The record is from RefSeq and is a predicted model, not a curated record.
UCGUGUAUAGUGUGUAUACCCCAAUUGUCGGCGAUUCGUCGUGCUUUUUCGAUUUCGUUACUCAAAUUUAUGGGUAUAUUAACUGAGCUGACUUAACUAAAUGUAAAACAUGUACGUGUAAUUGUGUUUAACAGUGUUUAAGGUGGAUUUUACGAAAAAGACAAUAAUUUCAUGGAUCGUUGACGUGUCCUCUCUCAUCAUGAAAUUUAGUUUUUCUCGAUGAUGUAGUUAGGUAAUUAUUGAUGAGAGGAUCGUUCGAGCUUUACCGCACUGCGGAAAUGCUAUUUCUCGUGCAACAAGCUACAUCAGAUUACUUAUUGAUGAGAAUUCCCAGGACUCUAACCAGCGCAAAGAAUGCAUGCGACUCUGUGGAUCACUUGCCGAUGGUCCCUCCAUUCCAUAUGACAAUGGAGAAAACAGAUAAAAGCUAAUGGAUGAAAGCCCCAAGUACAACAUGAUAAAGCGUUUUGCCGAUUCUAUCGGGCAGCAAUAACGUAAUAUUACUCAAGAUGUAGU